CAGCUCGGCCCGCAGGCUCCGCUUGGCGCCGCUCACGGCCACCGCUGCCGCCAUCUCCUGGUGCGAUCCAGCCCCAGGCCGCACUCCGCGAGGUUCGCCGGCCCAAGGGGCAUGUAGGAUCUUAGCUUUCUGACCAGGGAUUGGACUUGCACCCCCUGCACUGGAAGAUGGAGUCUUAACCACUAGACUGCCAGAGAAGUCCUCAUUCAUUUAUUUUUGAAACACAUGUUUAUUGAACUUUCAUUUGGCUCUGAACAGGACUCUGAGAGAGAACGGGGGCACAGAUUCGAUCCCUGGUCAGAGAGCUAAAGAGUGAAAGACAGGGAAGCCUGGCAUGCUUCAGUCCAUGGGAUUGCAAAGAGACAGACUCGACAGCAACUGAACAACAACAGGGAGCUAGAAUCCCACAUGCUGCAUGGCACAACCAAAAACAAAGAAAAAGAAUCACCAUGAGAGCAUAUCUCAAUUCAGACCAGCCACAUUGAAACUGUUCAACAGUCACCAGUGACAAGUGGCCACUGCAUUGGACGGCAUAGCGCUAGAGGGUAGAGAGUCUAUCUUAUCCCCCCUGCCCUCCACCGCACUUUUUCUUCUGAAUGUUUGGGACUAAA
This is a long non-coding RNA of Dama dama (fallow deer), 611 nucleotides long. RefSeq lists it as uncharacterized. The record is from RefSeq and is a predicted model, not a curated record. The transcript has 4 exons. Lineage: Eukaryota; Metazoa; Chordata; Mammalia; Artiodactyla; Cervidae.